UGACAGACUCCCAUAAUGCCGGUCUUGUAACAGAUAUAAAACAGCACAAGUUCGGAAUUACGGGUUUCUGUUAA
Molecule: microRNA precursor, 74 nt
Filed under: Drosophila guanche
Lineage: Eukaryota; Metazoa; Arthropoda; Insecta; Diptera; Drosophilidae
Rfam family: mir-10 microRNA precursor family
About the family: In this case the mature sequence comes from the 5' arm of the precursor. The extents of the hairpin precursors are not generally known and are estimated based on hairpin prediction. The products are thought to have regulatory roles through complementarity to mRNA.
Source: RNAcentral